AGUGGGAGCUUCGGCGCAAGU
Molecule: small nuclear RNA, 21 nt
Filed under: Arabidopsis thaliana (thale cress)
Lineage: Eukaryota; Viridiplantae; Streptophyta; Magnoliopsida; Brassicales; Brassicaceae
Description: snRNA_16700
Source: RNAcentral